GGAGAGAGUCUGAGCCUAAAAUAAAAGAGAGUGGAAGUGAGGAAAAGAGCUUCUGGGGCUGAAGGCGGAGGCCAGGAUCAAAGGAAGCAAAGAGGAGUGUCUGGUUCAGAGGGAAGUGGGAACAUAUGGAGGAGAAAGAGAAGACUUGGUAACGUGUUGACAGAGGACACUUGGAUAUUGGGAGAAAAGCUGUGACUGGGAGCUCAUAGGGAAAUGUUUGAGAAAAGGAUGGAGGAUGGGCUAGAAGGAUUUAGUCUGACACUAAAUGGGGUCUAUGAGAUGGAGAAUUGCAGCAGGAUAAAGGGUAGAUUUUGAGAGUUGUGGAAGAAGGUGCAGACUGAAGUGGGCAAAAUUUCUGAAAGAGGAGCCUGAAGAAUGAAGGGCUCCCAAGUGACAAAAGCAGGAGAGGAGAUAAGAAAGAAGUGAGAAAAAACACAAGAAGCCACGUGCCAUAAUGGUGAUUGUGUUUGUUGAUCUCUGCCAUCCCGAGAUCAUCACUCCUAGCCUCCUCUGGAAACUCUCUGAGAGUUGGGGAAUUGUCUCUUUUAUAAGAGGCCUACACAGGCACGAGGUCAUACUUGGGCAGUUUUCGGCUUUGUGAAAAUCUCUCAGAUUGCACCGCACAGUAUACAACUGAUGAACCAGACAACCACAGUCGUUCUUUGGAUUGCAUUUUCUCCUGAGAUAUCAGACGCAUUUCACCAGGGCCACAGAAAGAAAAAUGAAGACCAAGAUACCGUGACAAAUGCCAACUACCUCGU
Molecule: small RNA, 761 nt
Filed under: Pan troglodytes (chimpanzee)
Lineage: Eukaryota; Metazoa; Chordata; Mammalia; Primates; Hominidae
Description: processed transcript
Source: RNAcentral